CAGUAGCCGCGGUAAUACGGAGGGAGCUAGCGUUGUUCGGAAUUACUGGGCGUAAAGCGCACGUAGGCGAUUAUUCAAGUCAGAGGUGAAAGCCCGGGGCUCAACCCCGGAACUGCCUUUGAAACUAGAUGACUAGAAUCUUGGAGAGGUCAGUGGAAUUCCGAGUGUAGAGGUGAAAUUCGUAGAUAUUCGGAAGAACACCAGUGGCGAAGGCGACUGACUGGACAAGUAUUGACGCUGAGGUGCGAAAGCGUGGGGAGCAAACAGGAUUAGAACCCCCGUAGUCCCUGUCUCUUAUACC
This 301-nucleotide ribosomal RNA is filed under the name uncultured bacterium. Its description in RNAcentral is "partial 16S ribosomal RNA". It matches the Rfam family "Bacterial small subunit ribosomal RNA", at positions 509 to 808 of the family's 1533-position model. The record is from RNAcentral.